Molecule: long non-coding RNA, 7591 nt
Filed under: Homo sapiens (human)
Lineage: Eukaryota; Metazoa; Chordata; Mammalia; Primates; Hominidae
Description: non-protein coding lnc-TM6SF2-1:8
Source: RNAcentral
AGCCUCGGCCCGGACUCGCCGCCAACGAGGAGCCGAGCGCCCUGGAGAACGCGUCGGGGCUGAGCCGGGGUCCAGCAGCCGCCGCUAUGGACAUCCCGCCGCUGGCCGGCAAGAUCGCGGCGCUGUCGCUGAGCGCCCUCCCGGUGUCCUACGCGCUCAACCACGUCUCGGCGCUCUCGCACCCCCUGUGGGUGGCAUUGAUGAGCGCCCUAAUCCUGGGUCUGCUUUUCGUGGCGGUCUACAGCUUGUCCCAUGGCGAGGUCUCCUAUGACCCACUCUAUGCUGUCUUCGCUGUCUUCGCCUUCACCUCGGUUGUGGACCUCAUCAUCGCUCUUCAGGAAGACAGCUAUGUGGUGGGCUUCAUGGAGUUCUACACCAAGGAGGGAGAGCCAUACCUGCGCACAGCGCACGGAGUCUUCAUCUGCUACUGGGAUGGCACUGUUCACUACCUCCUCUACCUGGCCAUGGCCGGCGCCAUCUGCAGAAGGGACCCGGAGCUGGGAAACCCACGGUGGUCUCCAGGCCCUGGCUGGGGCUCUGAGAUUACGGAGUGACUACCUGCUGGUCACCCCUCCAUCCCCUGCUCAGGAAGAGAUACCGGAAUUUUGGACUCUACUGGCUGGGUUCCUUCGCCAUGAGCAUCCUGGUGUUCCUUACAGGAAACAUUCUUGAUGUCCAGCAGGGUUCUGGCAUGGCUGAUGCCCUCUCUCCUGCACCAUGGAAGGCAAAUACAGCUCCGAGAUCAGGCCUGCCUUCUUCCUCACCAUCCCCUACCUGCUGGUGCCAUGCUGGGCUGGCAUGAAGGUCUUCAGCCAGCCCCGGGCGCUAACCCGCUGCACCGCCAACAUGGUGCAAGAGGAACAAAGAAAGGGACUCCUGCAGCGUCCGGCUGACCUGGCCCUUGUCAUAUAUCUCAUCCUUGCUGGCUUCUUCACUCUGUUCCGGGGCCUGGUGGUGCUUGAUUGCCCCACAGAUGCCUGCUUUGUCUAUAUCUACCAGUAUGAGCCAUACCUGCGGGACCCUGUGGCCUACCCUAAGGUGCAGAUGCUGAUGUACAUGUUUUAUGUCCUGCCUUUCUGCGGCCUGGCUGCCUAUGCUCUCACCUUCCCUGGUUGCUCCUGGCUUCCAGACUGGGCCUUGGUGUUUGCUGGAGGCAUCGGCCAGGCACAGUUCUCGCACAUGGGGGCUUCCAUGCACCUGCGCACACCCUUCACCUACCGUGUGCCUGAGGACACCUGGGGCUGCUUCUUCGUGUGCAAUCUGCUGUAUGCGCUGGGCCCCCACCUGCUGGCCUACCGUUGCCUUCAGUGGCCCGCAUUCUUCCACCAGCCACCACCCUCCGACCCCCUAGCCCUCCACAAGAAGCAGCAUUGAGAGAGCUGUGGACUCAGGACCCAGGACUCUGUUUACGUGCCCAGUCAGCCCUACCUGGGGAAGCGGGGGUUGGGUGUUUUAGAGACAGGAGGGACAUCUCCGGGUGUCUUUAGUCUUGGCUAUGGUAGUUUCAGUCCAGUGGGUGGGAUGGAGACCAACGACCAAGUGUUCCUGCAAGGAGAGCCUCCCACAGCUGUCACCAUGCUCCAACUCCCACACAAACGCUUCUACCCCUUCCAGAACUUACCCAUCAUCCCCCCAUGGAUCCUUUCAGUAAAAACCCUUUCAAUUUCCAAAAUAUCACUGCCUAAGUGUUUCAGGGUGCAGGGGCAAGGGAUCCUCUUCUUGGCCCCCAUGAGGGCCCACCUAUCACUGCCAUCGUGGUUGCCAGGAGUGAGAGGUGCUGGGAUAGCAGAAGGCGGCCUCUGGUUGGUAUGCACGGCUCAUCUUCCAGAUGGGAAAACCGAGGCUCAGUAUGGACAAGAGACCUGCCCAAGGUCAUGGCCAGAGAGAAAAGUUCCUGCUCUACCAAUAAAUCAUAACUAAUAGCAUGAUACAUUUAUUAAGCACCUACUGUAUACCUUGACUGCUACAUGCUGGAUCUCACUCCAUAUUCCAGAUGGGGAAACCAAGGCUGCAGGAGGUGAAGGUCCUGGUCUGAGAUCAUUCCCCCGCUCAGUCCCCAAGGCAUGGCUGAGCUAAGAGAUGGAGCCCCAGCCUGUUGGACCACAGAAACCACAACUCUGCCUCUCCUAUCUGGUCGGGUUGGGCUCAUUUUAGGGGAAACUGAGUCCUGGAAGGAAGCCAAGGUGUUAGGAGAAAGACUCACUGUUUGCUAUUGUUUGAUUUUUUGAAAUUGGGUGAAAGGCCAGGUUUAGGGGCGACUUGGGCCUGGAGUAAGUCAGGGACCUUGACCAGAUGUCCCUUUUCCUUUUCUUUCUUUCUUUUUCUUUUUCUUUUUUUUUUUUUUUUUUGAGACGGAGUUUUCACUCUUGUUGCCCCGGCUGAUAUGCAAUGGCACGAUCUUGGCUCACCACAACCUCCACCUCCUGGGUUCAAGCAAUUCUCCUGCCUCAGCCCCCUGAGUAGCUGGGAUUACAGGCAUGUGCCACCACACCUGGCUAAUUUUGUAUUUUUAGUAGAGACAGAGUUUCUCCAUGUUGGUCAGGUUGGCCUCGCACUCCUGACCUCAGGUGAUCCUCCCAUCUUGGCCUCACAAAGUGCUGGGAUUACAGACGUGAGCCACCGCGCCCGGCCUAGAUGUCCCUUUUUCUUGCCCCUCCCAACCCCUACCGGAGAUCUACUGUAUGUCUAGCUACUGGAUCUUCACCAAAGAGUCAGCAGCAGGCUCAGAGAGGCCAACUGUCUCCUCCAAGGUCUCACAGCCAGUGAGGGGCAGACUUGAAUUGGGGCCUGUGGCUCCAGUCCACAGCAGAGUGUGACUAUCGUGAGGCCCCCACCCUGCACAGGGAGCGCCUUUGGGGUGCUGGAGACCAGGACUCCACUAUGACUACCCAAUGGACAGGUGGCCUGCAGGCCAAAUGAUCUCUUUCACCAGAUCCCCCAGGUCCCCUGCCAAAGCACAGUAACCAAGAUAGAAGACUCAGCCCCCUCCUCCAUUUCAAAGAUGGUUAAACUGAGGCUCAGAGAGGUUCUUCCCUGGCCUAAGUUCAGCUAGCAGGGUGAGGGAACUAGCUCUGCACUCCAAGUCCAGAGCGCUUCUUUCUCCGCCCGCGCUCCAGCCACUGCUCCAGGGGAGCGUGGGCCCCCGCGGCCCCUUUAAUACACCCCGCCUCGCCCGCCUUCCUCCUCCCCUUGCAGGCAGACGCCGGGAUUGCGCCGCCUGCAGGGACCUGCCCAGUCUUAACCGGGUGUGCGGGGAGCGCAGUCCGGGUGCGUAGGGGCCGCUCGGCGGGGGCCGCGCGGGCAAGAUGGUGUGCGCUCGGGCGGCCCUCGGUCCCGGCGCGCUCUGGGCCGCGGCCUGGGGCGUCCUGCUGCUCACAGCCCCUGCGGGGGCGCAGCGUGGCCGGAAGAAGGUCGUGCACGUGCUGGAGGGUGAGUCGGGCUCGGUAGUGGUACAGACAGCGCCUGGGCAGGUGGUAAGCCACCGUGGUGGCACCAUCGUCUUGCCCUGCCGCUACCACUAUGAGGCAGCCGCCCACGGUCACGACGGCGUCCGGCUCAAGUGGACAAAGGUGGUGGACCCGCUGGCCUUCACCGACGUCUUCGUGGCACUAGGCCCCCAGCACCGGGCAUUCGGCAGCUACCGUGGGCGGGCUGAGCUGCAGGGCGACGGGCCUGGGGAUGCCUCCCUGGUCCUCCGCAACGUCACGCUGCAAGACUACGGGCGCUAUGAGUGCGAAGUCACCAAUGAGCUGGAAGAUGACGCUGGCAUGGUCAAGCUGGACCUGGAAGGCGUGGUCUUUCCCUACCACCCCCGUGGAGGCCGAUACAAGCUGACCUUCGCGGAGGCGCAGCGCGCGUGCGCCGAGCAGGACGGCAUCCUGGCAUCUGCAGAACAGCUGCACGCGGCCUGGCGCGACGGCCUGGACUGGUGCAACGCGGGCUGGUUGCGCGACGGCUCAGUGCAAUACCCCGUGAACCGGCCCCGGGAGCCCUGCGGCGGCCUGGGGGGGACCGGGAGUGCAGGGGGCGGCGGUGAUGCCAACGGGGGCCUGCGCAACUACGGGUAUCGCCAUAACGCCGAGGAACGCUACGACGCCUUCUGCUUCACGUCCAACCUGCCGGGGCGCGUGUUCUUCCUGAAGCCGCUGCGACCUGUACCCUUCUCCGGAGCUGCGCGCGCGUGUGCUGCGCGUGGCGCGGCCGUGGCCAAGGUGGGGCAGCUGUUCGCCGCGUGGAAGCUGCAGCUGCUAGACCGCUGCACCGCGGGUUGGCUGGCCGAUGGCAGUGCGCGCUACCCCAUCGUGAACCCGCGAGCGCGCUGCGGAGGCCGCAGGCCUGGUGUGCGCAGCCUCGGCUUCCCGGACGCCACCCGACGGCUCUUCGGCGUCUACUGCUACCGCGCUCCAGGAGCACCGGACCCGGCACCUGGCGGCUGGGGCUGGGGCUGGGCGGGCGGCGGCGGCUGGGCAGGGGGCGCGCGCGAUCCUGCUGCCUGGACCCCUCUGCACGUCUAGGCUGGGAGUAGGCGGACAGCCAGGGCGCUUGACCACUGGUCUAGAGCCCUGUGGUCCCCUGGAGCCUGGCCACGCCCUUGAAGCCCUGGACACUGGCCACAUUCCCUGUGGUCCCUUACAAACUAACUGUGCCCCUGGGGUCCCUGAAGACUGGCUAGUCCUGGCAGAACAGUACUUUGGAGUUCCCUGGAGCCUGGCCAGCCCUCACCUCUUCUGGAUAGAGGAUUCCCCCAACUCCCCAACUUUCUCCAUGAGGGUCACGCCCCCUGAGGACCUCAGGAGGCCAGCAGAACCCGCAGGCUCCUGAAGACUGGCCACGCCUCCUGAGACCACUUGGAAACAGACCAACUGCCCCCGUGGUCGCCUGGUGGCUGGACCCCCGGGAUUGACUAGAGACCGGCCGUACACCUUCUGCAUCUCACUGGAGACUGAACACUAGUCCCUUGCGGUCACGUGGGACACUGGGCGCCUCCUCCUCCCCCUCCUCCUCACCUGGAGAGACUACAGGAACUUCAGGGUCACUCCCCGUGGUCACAUGGAGGUUGUGGGCCGAGGCGCUUAUUUUCCCUUAUGGUGACCUGAGUCCUGGAGACUCCCAUUCUCCCCCUCUCCCUGAGAGUCCCCUGCAGUUUCUGGGUAACAGGGCACACCCCUCUAGUUUCAUGGGCGAGCACCCCCAUCUGCCACCUCAGACUGACACACAGCCAGCUGGCUCACUUACUGGGGGCCACGUCCCACCCCUCAGAUAUUUCUUUGAAGGGAGAGCAAACCCACCCUGUCCUCUGACGUCCCUUUCCCAACUGUCACCAAACAGACCAUCUUCCCAGGCCUGGGGACCGGUAAGAUCCAUGUCACUAGUUAUGCAGAGCAGUUGCCUUGGGUCCCACUGUCACCAAGGCAACCAGUCCUGCUGCUACCUGUCACCUAGAGUCACACACCCCUUCCCUCAUCAGGCACACCCAUGAAGACAGUGCCUCCCUCCUCCAGCUGUAACCAUGGAUACCACACAUUUCUCAUCUCAUUGGCCCCCACCCCAGAGACCUCCACCUCAACUUCUGGCUGUCCCUACCCUGACUCACCGCCAUGGAGAUCACCCUCCCCGAAGCUGUCGCCAGGGUGACCCAACAUCCAGUUCUCCGGCUCUCACCAUGGAAACAAACUGUCCCUGUCCCCAGGCCCACUCCAGUUCCAGACCACCCUCCAUGCUCCACCCCCAGGCGGUUUGGACCCCACCACUGUUGCCAUGGUGACCAAACUCUGGAGUCCGAGGUAACAGAACACCUGUCCCCCUAGGCUUUUCCUUGUGGACAACGGGGCCCUGUUCACCAAGCUGUUGCCAUAGAGACUGUCAACGUUGUCCUCAUGACAACCAGACUUCCAGUUCUCAGGAACUUCUCAUUGUGGGCCAGAAGUCCUGGGUGCCUCCUACUAGGGCUACCCUACUGCACCCCAUCAGGGGCCUGAUGGCUGCCCCUUCCCCAGACAGGGCUGGACUUCUGGAGCUGCUAAGCCACCCUCCGUUUGCACGUUAACUCUAUGCCGGAUAGCAGCUGUGCACGAGACAAUCUUGCAACACCCGGGCAUGUUUGUCGUCGUCCUACAAAUGAGGAAACCGAGCCUAUGGCGUGCCCUGGUCUGUUGAGAUAUGCAAGCACUGAGCUCCUCUUUUGUCCUCUGAGACCCCAUCUCCAUUCUCACCCAGUUCCUCUCUCCUUCCCUGACCCCCACCCACAUUUCCCUCCUUAGAGAUCCAGGAGGGAUGGAAUGUUCUUUAAAAUUCAACACCCACCAGGCUCUAAGCGGCGAUCUGUGCUAAGAGGUCAGGACCCAGCCGAAGUCCUCGGCGUUGACAGGCAGCUGGGGGGACAUGAUCCAUGGACAAGGCCAUCCCGGCCGUGGGAGACCCCAGUCCCGAAGUCUUGCCUGCAGGAGUACUGGGGUCCCCCUGGGGCCCUCUUUACUGUCACGUCAUCUCUAGGAAACCUAUCUCUGAGUUUUGGGACCAGGUCGGUUUGGGUUUGAAUUCUGCCUCUUCUUGCUCACUGUGUGACCAAGUGACAAACUCCUUCUGAACCUGUGUUCUCCCACUGUACCAGGGCUGUUCUGUGGUCCCCGUGAGUGCCAAGCAUACAGUAGGGGCUCAAUAAAUCCUUGUUUCUUUUGAUGAAUGAGAAAAUGAGGCAGCCAGUGGGUAAUUCCUGUAUAAAUGCACUUUGGUAGAUAAGAUGUUACAAGCUUGGGGGGCUUGGGGUUUUUUUUGUUUUGUUUUUUUGAGAUGGAGUCCUGCCCUGUCGCCCAGGCUGGAGUGCAGUCGUGCAAUCUUGGCUCACUGCAACCUCUGCCUCCCGGGUUCAAGUGAUUCUCCUGCCUCAGCCUCCCGAGUAGCUGGGAUUACAGGUGCCUGCCACCACACCCGGCUAAUUUUUGUAUUUUUAGUAGAGACAGGGUUUCACCAUGUUGGCCAGGCUGGUCUUGAACUCCUGACCUCAGGUGAUCUACCCACCUCGGCCUCCCAAAGUGUUGGGGUUACAGGUGUGAGCCACUGCGCCUGGCCGGGCUUGAUUUUUAUUCUCUUUGGAAGUGGGGUCCUUCAUUCCUCCCCCACCUCCCCAAUCUCUUGCUCCUCUUUCUUCCCCCAUCCUGUGCCCACUGUCUCCCUUUAGCCACCCACCAUGGGUCUGCUCCUUGUCAACUCUGUCCUGACUGGGUCAUUGACAAGAUCCAGGGCAUGAAAUUCGGGAAACUGGAAGGGGGGUUCCUGUACCAGGAAGGGAGAGACAUUACAAACUUUCCCUGACAUGAAUAUGUGGGCUGAGGGCAGGGGCUGAGGAAGCACUGGAAGUUUCUAGGAUACAACAAAGCAUGAAGAGAAAAAAUAGUGUAAGGUCCUGACCGUGCACAGUGGAUCAUGCCUAUAAUCCCAGCACUUUAAGAGACCAAGGUGGGAGGAUUGCUUGAGCCAGAAGGUCGAGGCUGCAGUGAGCCAUGAUUGUACCACUGCACUCCAGCUUGGGCGACGGAGUGAGACCCUGUCUCAAAAAAUAAAAAUAAGUAAAUCUCCUCUUCCUCAUUCUUCU